Molecule: long non-coding RNA, 295 nt
Organism: Hemicordylus capensis (graceful crag lizard)
Lineage: Eukaryota; Metazoa; Chordata; Lepidosauria; Squamata; Cordylidae
Exons: 2
Source: RefSeq, a predicted model, not a curated record
GAGCGGAGUAGCUUGGUUUAGUUGAGAGAGCAGCUGCUGCUGGGGACGUUCUCUGACUCUGCCUGCCUGCUGUUUGCCCACCACACUGCCCUCUGGCUGCCUUUUAUUCUUCUGUUGUGCAUUAACAAAAAAAAAGAUGGAACAAAAGCCGAGAACCACAGGGUUCUGCAUUCUGCACUUCCACAGCGUCUGCACAGAACAGGAAGCUGCACACUGCCCCCUAGCAGCAGCAGGGUCUUGGUUCCAGAUGCAGGGACGGAAAAAUAAAAUAAAAUAAAAUAAAAAAGAAAUUGCA